Molecule: non-coding RNA, 143 nt
Filed under: Lotharella globosa
Lineage: Eukaryota; Cercozoa; Chlorarachniophyceae
Source: RNAcentral
UAUUUUUGUUUUUUUUUUUUUUGUUUUUUUUUAAUCUUUCCCUAUCUUCUUUUCCUUUGCUUGCAAAAAGAGACAGGUCCAAGAAGAAGGGAAGGAACGAAGACACGAGAUAGAAUUAGACGAAAAUGGAGAUUGAAAAAAAA